This 71-nucleotide transfer RNA is filed under the name Stenopsyche angustata. RNAcentral describes it as "tRNA-Cys". Lineage: Eukaryota; Metazoa; Arthropoda; Insecta; Trichoptera; Stenopsychidae. The record is from RNAcentral.
AGUUUUAUAUUCAAGUUAUGAUUUUAAAUUGCAAAUUUAAAGGUGUAUUUAUUUAAUAAAUAUUAAGGCUU